GUGGGGAAUUUUGGACAAUGGGCGCAAGCCUGAUCCAGCAAUGCCGCGUGCAGGAAGAAGGCCUUCGGGUUGUAAACUGCUUUUGUACGGAACGAAACGGUCCGGGUUAAUACCCUGGGCUAAUGACGGUACCGUAAGAAUAAGCACCGGCUAACUACGUGCCAGCAGCCGCGGUAAUACGUAGGGUGCAAGCGUUAAUCGGAAUUACUGGGCGUAAAGCGUGCGCAGGCGGUUUUGUAAGACAGGCGUGAAAUCCCCGGGCUCAACCUGGGAAGUGCGGUUGUGACUGCAAGGCUGGAGUGCGGCAGAGGGGGAUGGAAUUCCGCGUGUAGCAGUGAAAUGCGUAGAUAUGCGGAGGAACACCGAUGGCGAAGGCAAUCCCCUGGGCCUGCACUGACGCUCAUGCACGAAAGCGUGGGGAGCAAACAGGAUUAGAAACCCCGGUAGUCC
This 450-nucleotide ribosomal RNA is filed under the name uncultured bacterium. RNAcentral's name for it is "partial 16S ribosomal RNA". It matches the Rfam family "Bacterial small subunit ribosomal RNA", at positions 354 to 796 of the family's 1533-position model. The record is from RNAcentral.